RNAcentral lists this long non-coding RNA (1158 nucleotides) under Erythranthe guttata (spotted monkey flower). RNAcentral describes it as "long non-coding RNA (EGUT_LNC002623)". Lineage: Eukaryota; Viridiplantae; Streptophyta; Magnoliopsida; Lamiales; Phrymaceae. The record is from RNAcentral.
CACUCUCCAAAGCCUGUUUCUGCGUCUCCGUCUUCUGCCUGUGACGUUUUUUAACUCUUUUGGCAGCUGGUCCCUCAGUGCUGAUUCCAGGACCAGGUACCUCAUUUUUCUGUGUAAUAACAUCGUCAACAAUAUUGUUUGUUUGAUUUUCAGACAAAGGGGCGGCAGAUUGAUUGGCUAGAAUAUCCUGAAUAUCCGUGUUGACCUCCAAGGGAGUUGUACCUUCGACGGAGGUACCAAUCUCCAAAGCCUGUUUCUGCGUCUCCGUCUUCUGCCUGUGACGUUUUUUAACUCUUUUGGCAGCUGGUCCCUCAGUGCUGAUUCCAGGACCAGGUACCUCAUUUUUCUGUGUAAUAACAUCGUCAACAAUAUUGUUUGUUUGAUUUUCAGACAAAGGGGCGGCAGAUUGAUUGGCUAGAAUAUCCUGAAUAUCCGUGUUGACCUCCAAGGGAGUUGUACCUUCAACGGAGGUACCAAUCUCCAAAGCCUGUUCCCGCAUCUUCCGCCUGUGACGUUUUUUAACUCUUUUGGCAGCUGGUCCCUCAGUGCUGAUUCCAGGAGCAGGUAUCUCAUUUUUCUGUGUAAUAACAUUGUCAACAAUAUUGUCUGUUUGAUUUUCAGACAAAGGGGCGGCAGAUUGAGUGGCUAGAAUAUCCUGAGUAUCCAUGUUGACCUCCAAGGGAGUUGUAUCUACCUCCAAGGGAGUUGUACCUUCAACCGAGGUACCAAUCUUCAAAGCCUGUUUCUGCGACUUCGUCUUCCGCCUGCGACGUUUGUCAACUCUUUUGGCAGCUGGUCCCUCAGUGCUGAUUCCAGGAUCAGGUACCUCAUUUUUCUGUGUAGUAACAUUGUCAACAAUAUUGUCUGCUUGAUUUUCAGACACAGGGGGGGCAGAUUGAUUCGGUAGAAUAUCCUGAAUAUCCAUGUUGACCUCCAAGGGAGUUGUACCUUCAACCGAGGUACCAAUCUUCAAAGCCUGUUUCUGCGACUUCGUCUUCCGCCUGCGACAUUUGUCAACUCUUUUGGCAGCUGGUCCCUCAGUGCUGAUUCUAGGAUCAGGUACCUCAUUUUUCUGUGUAAUAACAUUGUCAGCAAUAUUAUCUGUUUGAUUUUCAGACAAAGGGGCGGCAGAUUGAUUCGGUAGAAUAUCCUGAAUAU